This 370-nucleotide ribosomal RNA is filed under the name Trichomonas vaginalis G3. RNAcentral's name for it is "5.8S ribosomal RNA". The stretch from base 100 to 255 matches the Rfam family "5.8S ribosomal RNA". Lineage: Eukaryota; Parabasalia; Trichomonadida; Trichomonadidae. The record is from RNAcentral.
CCUGCCGUUGGAUCAGUUCUAGUUUUAAUAACUAACACCAACUUCUUUUAUUAAACAAAAACCAAUACAAAAUUAAAAACUAACUUCAUCAAAAACCAAGUCUCUAAGCAAUGGAUGUCUUGGCUCCUCACACGAUGAAGAACGUGGCAUAAUGUGUUAAGUAACCGGAGUUGCAAACAUCAUGACAGGUUAAUCUUUGAAUGCAAAUUGCGCUAAACUCGAUCUCGGUCGAGAAGCAUGGGUGUGACAGUACUACAUCUUUUAUAAUAAUUCUUAUUCUAAGCGAAUAAGUAAAUAAUAUAUAAGACAAACAACACGUAGUCUGCCAUACGCAGGAAGACCCGCUGAACUGAAGCAUCUCAUUAAGCGG